This 550-nucleotide ribosomal RNA is filed under the name uncultured bacterium. RNAcentral's name for it is "bacterial SSU rRNA". It matches the Rfam family "Bacterial small subunit ribosomal RNA", at positions 355 to 896 of the family's 1533-position model. The record is from RNAcentral.
UAGGGAAUCUUCCACAAUGGACGCAAGUCUGAUGGAGCAACGCCGCGUGAGUGAAGAAGGUCUUCGGAUCGUAAAACUCUGUUGUUAGAGAAGAACACGAGUGAGAGUAACUGUUCAUUCGAUGACGGUAUCUAACCAGCAAGUCACGGCUAACUACGUGCCAGCAGCCGCGGUAAUACGUAGGUGGCAAGCGUUGUCCGGAUUUAUUGGGCGUAAAGGGAACGCAGGCGGUCUUUUAAGUCUGAUGUGAAAGCCUUCGGCUUAACCGGAGUAGUGCAUUGGAAACUGGAAGACUUGAGUGCAGAAGAGGAGAGUGGAACUCCAUGUGUAGCGGUGAAAUGCGUAGAUAUAUGGAAGAACACCAGUGGCGAAAGCGGCUCUCUGGUCUGUAACUGACGCUGAGGUUCGAAAGCGUGGGUAGCAAACAGGAUUAGAUACCCUGGUAGUCCACGCCGUAAACGAUGAAUGCUAGGUGUUGGAGGGUUUCCGCCCUUCAGUGCUGCAGCUAACGCAAUAAGCAUUCCGCCUGGGGAGUACGACCGCAAGGUUG